UAAGGAAUAUUGGACAAUGGACGGAAGUCUGAUCCAGCCAUGCCGCGUGAAGGAAGAAGGCGCUCUGCGUUGUAAACUUCUUUUGGACAGGGACAAACCACUCGAUGCGUCGGGUGCUGAGGGUACUGUCAGAAUAAGCACCGGCUAACUCCGUGCCAGCAGCCGCGGUAAUACGGAGGGUGCAAGCGUUAUCCGGAAUCACUGGGUUUAAAGGGUGCGUAGGCGGUUGAAUAAGUCAGUCGUGAAAUUUCUUGGCUUAACCAAAGAGACUGCGAUUGAUACUGUUUAACUUGAAUCAGGAUGAGGCAGGCGGAAUGUGGCAUGUAGCGGUGAAAUGCAUAGAUAUGCCAUAGAACACCGAUUGCGAAGGCAGCUUGCUGGGCCUAGAUUGACGCUGAGGCACGAAAGCGUGGGGAGCAAACAGG
RNAcentral lists this ribosomal RNA (425 nucleotides) under uncultured bacterium. RNAcentral's name for it is "bacterial SSU rRNA". It matches the Rfam family "Bacterial small subunit ribosomal RNA", at positions 355 to 776 of the family's 1533-position model. The record is from RNAcentral.